RNAcentral lists this ribosomal RNA (127 nucleotides) under Aspergillus niger. Its description in RNAcentral is "partial 18S ribosomal RNA". It matches the Rfam family "Eukaryotic small subunit ribosomal RNA", at positions 1147 to 1273 of the family's 1831-position model. Lineage: Eukaryota; Fungi; Ascomycota; Eurotiomycetes; Eurotiales; Aspergillaceae. The record is from RNAcentral.
AAGAAAUUGACGGAAGGGCACCACCAGGCGUGGAGCCUGCGGCUUAAUUUGACUCAACACGGGGAAACUCACCAGGUCCAGACAAAAUAAGGAUUGACAGAUUGAGAGCUCUUUCUUGAUCUUUUGG